Molecule: long non-coding RNA, 735 nt
Filed under: Homo sapiens (human)
Lineage: Eukaryota; Metazoa; Chordata; Mammalia; Primates; Hominidae
Description: HSALNT0005192
Source: RNAcentral
CUGUUGUGUGUGGCCAGCACUGGAGGGGAUGGAAGAUUGAGAGGGAAGGAAGAAGGAGCAUGGGCUGCCCCUUACUCCUGGCUGGUCAGGUUGGUGUAGGCUACUCCCUGGAGUUCUGUAGGAAUUGUGACAAUACGACUUCCACAGCAGCCUCUGCAAAGCUGGCCUUCUACGCCCAAGUCCAUCACAUCCUGCGUGCAAUGGAGCCACCUUAUUUAUUUGGAAGGACUGUAAUCCUGUAAAAGAAGGAAAAUCCAGGUACUGCCUUGAAGGAGAGGCAAAUUUUCAUGGGGAGAAGUGAAGUGGAGUAUGCAAAGAGAAGGAGAUCCAGGCAGAGGACACAGCAUGGGCAAAGGACUGGAGAUGUGCAUAUUCGUGAAGUGCUUGGGAAGUGGCAGGUAAGUUUCAUGUGGCCAGGAUGCUGGGUACAGAGUUGUGGGUGUUGGGAGGCCAGGGUGAAAAAGACCCAGCUUUCAUGUUUCCUGUCAAUUCCUUUCCUUGGGGUUUCUUGGGCAACAUAUUCUGUCAUUUUCCACUGUGGAGUUCCCACCCAUUUUCAAAGUUGUAAAAAUAUUUUUGGUAAAUGUUCUUUUCCUUAAACAAGCCAAACUUAAGACAUCACAGGGCGGGACCCACACCCAUGUCUCUCCUUUUGCCCUGCAUCCUAAGAUGAUAUAGUGAAAGAACGUGAACCUUUAAGUAAGACAGUCUUGGAUUCAGAGCCUGCCUCUGCCG